AAUUUUAGAAAUUAUUUUGGUAUUUUUUUAGAUAUAAAAUAAUUUUUUUAUGAAAUUAAUAAAAAAGAAAUUUAAAAUGAAUAAAGAAAUAAAAUCAGGAAAAACACGGAGCGUUGGAUUUGACUUCAUUAAUUGACAUGGUAUAUCCAUCAAUCACAAGGCUGAGGAGAAGAAGCGACUAUCCUAGAGCAUAAAGUAAAAGUUAGAGAGGAAAGAUGUAACCAAGA
Molecule: long non-coding RNA, 227 nt
Filed under: Lathyrus oleraceus (garden pea)
Lineage: Eukaryota; Viridiplantae; Streptophyta; Magnoliopsida; Fabales; Fabaceae
Description: Pisum sativum (pea) long non-coding RNA (PSAT_LNC025138)
Source: RNAcentral